This 589-nucleotide ribosomal RNA is filed under the name uncultured bacterium. RNAcentral's name for it is "partial 16S ribosomal RNA". It matches the Rfam family "Bacterial small subunit ribosomal RNA", at positions 355 to 1375 of the family's 1533-position model. The record is from RNAcentral.
UGGGGAAUUUUGGACAAUGGGCGAAAGCCUGAUCCAGCAAUGCCGCGUGUGUGAAGAAGGCCUUCGGGUUGUAAAGCACUUUUGUCCGGAAAGAAAUCCUCUGGGUUAAUACCUCGGGGGGAUGACGGUACCGGAAGAAUAAGCACCGGCUAACUACGUGCCAGCAGCCGCGGUAAUACGUAGGGUGCAAGCGUUAAUCGGAAUUACUGGGCGUAAAGCGUGCGCAGGCGGUUUUGUAAGACGGAUGUGAAAUCCCCGGGCUUAACCUGGGAACUGCAUUCGUGACUGCAAGGCUAGAGUAUGGCAGAGGGGGGUAGAAUUCCACGUGUAGCAGUGAAAUGCGUAGAGAUGUGGAGGAAUACCGAUGGCGAAGGCAGCCCCCUGGGCCAAAUACUGACGCUCAUGCACGAAAAGCGUGGGGGAGCAAAACAGGAUUAGAUACCCUGGUAGUCCACGCCCUAAACGAUGUCAACUAGUUGUUGGGGAUUCAUUUCCUUAGUAACGUAGCUAACGCGUGAAGUUGACCGCCUGGGGAGUACGGUCGCAAGAUUAAAACUCAAAGGAAUUGACGGGGUCAUAGCUGUUUCCU